RNAcentral lists this ribosomal RNA (406 nucleotides) under uncultured bacterium. RNAcentral describes it as "partial 16S ribosomal RNA". It matches the Rfam family "Bacterial small subunit ribosomal RNA", at positions 30 to 526 of the family's 1533-position model. The record is from RNAcentral.
AUUGAACGCUGGCGGCAGGCCUAACACAUGCAAGUCGAACGAGUGGCGGACGGGUGAGUAAUGUCUGGGAAACUGCCCGAUGGAGGGGGAUAACUACUGUAAACGGUAGCUAAUACCGCAUACGCUCAGAUGUGCCCCGAUGGGAUUAGCUAGUAGGUGUGGUAACGGCUCACCUAGGCGACGAUCCCUAUCUGGUCUGAGAGGAUGACCAGCCACACUGGAACUGAGACACGGGCCAGACUCCUACGGGAGGCAGCAGUGGGGAAUAUUGCACAAUGGGCGCAAGCCUGAUGCAGCCAUGCCGCGUGUAUGAAGAAGGCCUUCGGGUUGUAAAGUACUUUCAGCGGGGAGGCGUUACCCGCAGAAGAAGCACCGGCUAACUCCGUGCCAGCAGCCGCGGUAAUAC